UACAGGGGGGGCAAGCGUUGUUCGGAAUUACUGGGCGUAAAGGGCUCGUAGGUGGCCAACUAAGUCAGACGUGAAAUCCCUCAGCUUAACUGGGGAACUGCGUCUGAUACUGGAUGGCCUGAGUUUGGGAGAGGGAUGCGGAAUUCCAGGUGUAGCGGUGAAAUGCGUAGAUAUCUGGAGGAACACCGGUGGCGAAGGCGGCAUCCUGGACCAAUACUGACACUGAGGAGCGAAAGCCAGGGGAGCAAACGGG
This 253-nucleotide ribosomal RNA is filed under the name uncultured bacterium. RNAcentral's name for it is "partial 16S ribosomal RNA". It matches the Rfam family "Bacterial small subunit ribosomal RNA", at positions 524 to 776 of the family's 1533-position model. The record is from RNAcentral.